CCUACGGGAGGCAGCAGUGGGGAAUUUUGGACAAUGGGCGCAAGCCUGAUCCAGCCAUGCCGCGUGUGGGAAGAAGGCCUUCGGGUUGUAAACCACUUUUGUCAGGGAAGAAACGGCCUUUACUAAUAUUAGGGGCUAAUGACGGUACCUGAAGAAUAAGCACCGGCUAACUACGUGCCAGCAGCCGCGGUAAUACGUAGGGUGCAAGCGUUAAUCGGAAUUACUGGGCGUAAAGCGUGCGCAGGCGGCUUUGCAAGACAGAUGUGAAAUCCCCGGGCUCAACCUGGGAACUGCAUUUGUGACUGCAUGGCUAGAGUACGGUAGAGGGGGAUGGAAUUCCGCGUGUAGCAGUGAAAUGCGUAGAUAUGCGGAGGAACACCGAUGGCGAAGGCAAUCCCCUGGACCUGUACUGACGCUCAUGCACGAAAGCGUGGGGAGCAAACAGGAUUAGAUACCCUGGUAGUCCACGCCCUAAACGAUGUCAACUGGUUGUUGGACGGCUUGCUGUUCAGUAACGAAGCUAACGCGUGAAGUUGACCGCCUGGGGAGUACGGCCGCAAGGUUGAAACUUACAAGGAAUUGACGG
This 586-nucleotide ribosomal RNA is filed under the name uncultured bacterium. RNAcentral's name for it is "bacterial SSU rRNA". It matches the Rfam family "Bacterial small subunit ribosomal RNA", at positions 338 to 916 of the family's 1533-position model. The record is from RNAcentral.